This 429-nucleotide ribosomal RNA is filed under the name Bacteroidota bacterium. Its description in RNAcentral is "Bacteroidetes bacterium partial 16S ribosomal RNA". It matches the Rfam family "Bacterial small subunit ribosomal RNA", at positions 355 to 776 of the family's 1533-position model. The record is from RNAcentral. Lineage: Bacteria; Pseudomonadati; Bacteroidota.
UAGGGAAUCUUCCGCAAUGGACGCAAGUCUGACGGAGCAACGCCGCGUGAGUGAAGAAGGAUUUCGGUUCGUAAAACUCUGUUGUUAGAGAAGAACAGCGCAUAGAGUAACUGUUAUGCGUGUGACGGUAUCUAAUCAGAAAGCCACGGCUAACUACGUGCCAGCAGCCGCGGUAAUACGUAGGUGGCAAGCGUUAUCCGGAAUUAUUGGGCGUAAAGCGCGCGUAGGCGGUUUUUUAAGUCUGAUGUGAAAGCCCACGGCUCAACCGUGGAGGGUCAUUGGAAACUGGAAAACUUGAGUGCAGAAGAGGAAAGUGGAAUUCCAUGUGUAGCGGUGAAAUGCGCAGAGAUAUGGAGGAACACCAGUGGCGAAGGCGACUUUCUGGUCUGUAACUGACGCUGAUGUGCGAAAGCGUGGGUAGCAAACAGG